Molecule: ribosomal RNA, 459 nt
Filed under: uncultured bacterium
Lineage: Bacteria
Description: partial 16S ribosomal RNA
Rfam family: Bacterial small subunit ribosomal RNA
Source: RNAcentral
CCUACGGGAGGCAGCAGUGAGGAAUAUUGGUCAAUGGGCGGGAGCCUGAACCAGCCAAGCCGCGUGAGGGAAGAAGGUACAGCGUAUCGUAAACCUCUUUUGUCAGGGAACAAAGGCGGGGACUAGUCCCCGUAUGAGGGUACCUGUAGAAAAAGCAUCGGCUAACUCCGUGCCAGCAGCCGCGGUAAUACGGAGGAUGCGAGCGUUAUCCGGAUUUAUUGGGUUUAAAGGGUGCGCAGGCGGCCUGUUAAGUCAGCGGUAAAAGCCCGGGGCUCAACCCCGGCGAGCCGUUGAAACUGGCGGGCUGGAGAGGGAGAGCAGUAGGCGGAAUGCGCGGUGUAGCGGUGAAAUGCUUAGAUAUCGCACAGAACCCCGAUUGCGAAGGCAGCGUACCGGCUCCACACUGACGCUGAGGCACGAAAGCGUGGGUAGCGAACAGGAUUAGAUACCCGAGUAGUC